This 301-nucleotide ribosomal RNA is filed under the name uncultured bacterium. RNAcentral describes it as "partial 16S ribosomal RNA". It matches the Rfam family "Bacterial small subunit ribosomal RNA", at positions 509 to 809 of the family's 1533-position model. The record is from RNAcentral.
CAGUAGCCGCGGGAAUACAGAGGGUGCGAGCGUUAAUCGGAUUUACUGGGCGUAAAGCGUGCGUAGGCGGCUUCUUAAGUCGGAUGUGAAAUCCCUGAGCUUAACUUAGGAAUUGCAUUCGAUACUGGGAAGCUAGAGUAUGGGAGAGGAUGGUAGAAUUCCAGGUGUAGCGGUGAAAUGCGUAGAGAUCUGGAGGAAUACAGAUGGCGAAGGCAGCCAUCUGGCCUAAUACUGACGCUGAGGUACGAAAGCAUGGGGAGCAAACAGGAUUAGAUACCCGGGUAGUCCCUGUCUAUUAUAU